RNAcentral lists this ribosomal RNA (2881 nucleotides) under Thismia rodwayi. Its description in RNAcentral is "23S ribosomal RNA". It matches the Rfam family "Bacterial large subunit ribosomal RNA". Lineage: Eukaryota; Viridiplantae; Streptophyta; Magnoliopsida; Dioscoreales; Thismiaceae. The record is from RNAcentral.
AAUAAAUAAAUAAAUUAUACUUAUGAUGUAUAAUUUAGCACUUAGAGACGAAGAAAGGCGUAUAAAAAUCAUAAUAAUCGAAAAGCUUUGGUAAAAAAAAAAUGUAGAUCCAUAGAUUCCUGAAUAGGAAAACCUUAUAAACUAUAUAUUAUAUAUAAGAGAUAAUAUAGUAAAUUGAAACAUCUUAGUAUCUAAUAGAAAAAAAAAUUCUCGUAGUUAUGAUGAAAAAAAAUGAGAUAUAUAUAAAUCUAUACUAUUCUAAUUUUAUAUAUAUGAGAUAUAUAUGAAUCUAUACUAUUCUAAUUAUAUAUAUAUAAUUAGAAUAGUAUGUUUUUGUGAAAUGUUAUUAUAUAUAUAUAUAUAUAUAUAAUGAUAAUGCUUAGGUGAAUUUGGUGAUAUUCCAUACCUUAGAUGGAGCAUAACAGUCCAGUAUCCAAAAACUAAAACAUUUUAUUUUAAUAUUUAUAAUUUAUGUGAACUUUGUAUGAAUUUAUAUUUAUAUAAUAAUACAUAAUACACCUUUUUAGGUAUAAUACUUCUAAGUGUUUGAUAGUGAAAAGUACUGUAGAGGAAAAGUAAAAAAUAAAAAUAAAAUGAAUCAUAAGUUUUCAAGCAGUGGUAAAAAUAUAUUUAAAAUUUUUAAUAAAUAUUUUUGACUGCAUUCCUGUUGAAGAAUGAGCCAGCGAUUUAUAUAUAGUGGCUUGAUUAAGUAAAAAAAAAACACUGUAGUCAUAGAAAAAUCAAGUUUUUUAGAUGGUAAUGUCAAUGUUUAUGUACCCGAACCUAGGUGAUCUAUCCAUGACCAGGAUGAAACUUUAAAAUAAAUUUAAGUGGAAGUCUGAACUGACUGAUGUUGAAUAAACAGCGGAUGAGUCUUGGUUAGGAGUGAAAUGCCACUCGAGCCUAGAGCUAGCUGGUUCUCCUCGAAAUGCGUUUAGGCGCAGCAGUUAGUUUUUUAUUUUAUAUUAUUUUUGUUGGGGGUAAAAAUUAUUUUUUUUAUUUAACUAAAUAAAAAAAAGUAUAAUAAUACUUUAAACAAAAACUAGUGAGAUGAUAGGGGGUAAGCUUUAUCAUCAAGAGGGAAACAGCCCAGAUCACCAGAAAAGGCUCCUAAAAAAAUUAAUAUUAAUAAAAUUGCUUAGUAAAAAAGAAGUAAAAUUGCAUAGACAAUCAGAAGGUUUGCCUGGAAGCAGCAAUCUCUUAAAAGAAUGCGUAAUAGCUCACUGAUUUAGUGUAUUUGUGCUGAAUAAUAUACAAAGGAUAUAAGUGAUAUGCCGAAACUUUGGGAUAAAAAAACUCAGUAGGGGAGCGUUCCACUUACAAAAAUAAAUUUAUUAUAUUUAUUUUGUUUUGGAAGUGAAAAUGUUUGGCUUAAGUAAUGCAAAAAAUGGUUUUUUAUAAAUCCAAUAAUCCCCAAAACCUAAGGAUUCCUUAAAUUAUAUAAUAAUAAAGUAUAAGGGUGAGUCAGAUCUUAAGAUAAGACCAAAUUUAAAGGAGUAGUCGAUAGGUAAACAGGUUAAAAAUCCUGUACUAUUUUUUUUUUUUUUUUUAAUUACUAAGAACGAAAUAAAAUAUAAUUUUUACGAAGUAUGGAUUUUGUUUUAAGGGUGCAAAAAAAAGAUAAAUAAAGUAGAGAAAAUACAUUAUUUUAAAUCUAUACCUGAACUAAGUUAUUAUUAUAAUUUUUUUAAUAUAAUAUUUCCAGGAAAAGUUUGUAUAAUUAAAAAAAAAAAAGUAUCUGUACCUAAAACCUACGUAGGUGGGUAGGUAUAGAAUACCUAGGGAAUCAAGAUAACUAUCUCUAAGGAACUCGGCAAAAUAACCUCGUAACUUUUGGAUAAGGGGUUCCCUUAUAAAAAGGGUUGCAGUUAAUAGAUCCAGACGACUGUUUAUCAAAAACACAAGUCUCCGCAAAGUUGUAAUACUACGUAUUGGGGCUGACACCUGCCCAGUGCCAAAAUGUAAAAAUAUUAGGUUACUAUAUAAUAAGUAAAUAUUAUAUUAUACUACUGGUAAACGGCGGCCGUAACUAUAACGGUCCUAAGGUAGCGAAAUUCCUUGUCGGGUAAGUUCCGACCCGCACGAAAGGUGUAACGAUUUGGGUGCUGUCUUGGAGAUAGGCUCGAUGAAAUAGACAUGUCUGUGAAGAUACGGACUACUUGAACUUGGACAGAAAGACCCUAUGAAACUUUACUGUGUUUUUGGUAUUUUUUUUUUGUAUUUUUAUUGGUGGUAUAUCACUAAAAAAAAAAAAAGUUUUAACCUUAAGUCAAAACUUACGGUCCAAGGUACAGUACAAAAAAUACAGUUUAUAUGGGGCGUAUACCCAACAAAAAUUAACAUGAGGGUGUGCAAAAGGUUUCCUCAAUAAAAAUAAAUAAAAAGUUUUUGAGUUAAAAGACAUAAGGUAACUUGACUGCAAAACCUAUCUUUUGAGCAGGGAUUAAAGUCGGCCUUAGUGAUCUGAGGGUUACUACUAUAGUGUUUAGGCCCUCACUAAACGGAUAAAAGUUACUCUAGGGAUAACAGGCUUAUCUUUUCUAGUAGUUCAUAUCCAAGGAAAGGUUUGGCACCUCGAUGUCGGCUCUUCGCCACCUGGGGCUGUAGAUUUUGUUCCAAGGGUUGGGUUGUUCACCCAUUAAAGCGGUACGUGAGCUGGGUUCAGAACGUCGUGAGACAGUUCGGUCCAUAUCUAGUUCAGGCAUUAGAGCAUUUUUGGAUAUAUUUCUUAGUACGAGAGGACCAGAAAAAAUAAAAAAAAUAAAUACCCAUGAUGUAUCCAGUUAUUAUGCCCAUAGUAAACGCUGGUUAGUUAAGUAUAUAAGAGAUAAUUGCUGAAAGCAUAUAAGUUUUAAGCUCACCUUAAGAUAAAUGCUCUAUA